This 344-nucleotide ribosomal RNA is filed under the name uncultured Coprococcus sp. Its description in RNAcentral is "bacterial SSU rRNA". It matches the Rfam family "Bacterial small subunit ribosomal RNA", at positions 28 to 339 of the family's 1533-position model. Lineage: Bacteria; Bacillati; Bacillota; Clostridia; Lachnospirales; Lachnospiraceae. The record is from RNAcentral.
GAUAAACGCUGGCGGCGUGCUUAACACAUGCAAGUCGAACGGAGUGGUUCUCCCGAGGAUUGAUAGUGCUUGCACUUGAUUGACUCAUUUGAAUCACUUAGUGGCGGACGGGUGAGUAACGCGUGGGUAACCUGCCUCAUACUGGGGGAUAGCAGUUGGAAACGACUGAUAAUACCGCAUAAGCGCACAGUAUCGCAUGAUACAGUGUGAAAAACUCCGGUGGUAUGAGAUGGACCCGCGUCUGAUUAGCUAGUUGGCGAGGUAACGGCCCACCAAGGCAACGAUCAGUAGCCGGCCUGAGAGGGUGUACGGCCACAUUGGGACUGAGACACGGCCCAAACUCC